This 240-nucleotide unclassified non-coding RNA is filed under the name soil metagenome. Its description in RNAcentral is "partial contains 5.8S ribosomal RNA, internal transcribed spacer 2, and large subunit ribosomal RNA". The record is from RNAcentral.
AACGCACGAGACCUGCGGACCUGCGGAAGGAUCAUUAAAAAGAGUGUGUACCCCUCUGUAAAAUGAGUGGGUUACCUCCCGUCCUUUGUUGACCUCUUAGGAGGUUAUUUUGAACUUUCUGCUUCGGUGGGGUUAAACCUACCGGAACACCCUCAAAUUCUUAUCAUUUAAAAAUUGUUCAGUCCGAUUUUUUGUUAAUAAAAACAAAAAACUUUCAGCAAUGGAUCUCUAGAUCGGAAG